CAGGCCUAAUACAUGCAAGUCGAACGCACCUUCGGGUGAGUGGCGGACGGGUGAGUAACACGUGGGAACGUGCCCUUUGGUUCGGAAUAAUCCGGGGAAACCUGGCCUAAUACCGGAUGUGCCCUUCGGGGGAAAGAUUUAUCGCCAUUGGAGCGGCCCGCGUCUGAUUAGCUGGUUGGUGGGGUAAAGGCCCACCAAGGCGACGAUCAGUAGCUGGCCUGAGAGGGCGACCGGCCACACUGGGACUGAGACACGGCCCAGACUCCUACGGGAGGCAGCAGUGGGGAAUAUUGCGCAAUGGGGGAAACCCUGACGCAGCGACGCCGCGUGCGGGAUGAAGGCCUUCGGGUUGUAAACCGCUUUCACCAGGGACGAAGCGAGAGUGACGGUACCUGGGGAAGAAGCCCCGGCUAACUACGUGCCAGCAGCCGCGGUAAGACGUAGGGGGCCAGCGUUGUUCGGAAUUACUGGGUGUAAAGGGUUCGUAGGCGGUGUGGCAAGUUGGGAGUGAAAUCUCUGGGCUCAACCCAGAGGCUGCUUCCAAAACUGCCGUGCUUGAGUGUGAGAGAGGCUCGUGGAAUUGCAGGUGUAGCGGUGAAAUGCGUAGAUAUCUGCAGGAACACCCGUGGCGAAAGCGGCGAGCUGGAUCACUACUGACGCUGAGGAACGAAAGCUAGGGGAGCAAACAGGAUUAGAAACCCUGGUAGUCCUAGCCCUAAACGAUCAGGAC
RNAcentral lists this ribosomal RNA (730 nucleotides) under uncultured bacterium. RNAcentral's name for it is "bacterial SSU rRNA". It matches the Rfam family "Bacterial small subunit ribosomal RNA", at positions 43 to 816 of the family's 1533-position model. The record is from RNAcentral.